CGCCACUGGAAAUCAAUAGCACUUAAUUUGGUUUGACAGUGUCCUUUAUUCUUAAGCUAAGUGGGAAGUAGGAAGUUCUACCACUACAUUGUUCUUGUUUUAAAAAAAUAACCCAGGCUUUGACUCUUGCACUCUGUUCCAGAAUGCAUGGUUAAUGCUGCAGCUGCCCUAAUGUCCAGUAGUUCAGUGAGCUGCUAACAGCUGCCCUAUAUAGUCUAUGAUGGUACUUAUUCUGAAGGAAGGUGUUAAAUCCCAGUCAGCAUGGCCACUGGUUAGGGGAUGAUAGGACCUCUGGAAGAUCACAGGUUCCCAACCCUUGGAAAGCAUGUGACAGUAUUGCUUUUGUAUAGACAAAUCAGAUGCCGUUUCAAGGAACACAUUUUCUUUCUAGUUAUAUAUAUAAAUAGAAAUAUAUAUAUAUGAGACAAACCUUGUUCCUGCCAUUGUCCAGAUUUAAUGCUGCAUCAGUGAGUCAGUUGCACUAGCAAUCCUUUCAAUCAUCUCUGCAGCAGUGUCUGACGACUGCUGCAGGUAUUUAAGAGAGCUGGUCAGCAUUCACAAUAUAGUUCCUUUUUUUCCUUUUUUAAAAUAUGUGAUCUUUGGAAUAUAUCAUGCCUAUGCGGGCUGGGGACAGACUUUAUUUGUUUGAAUGUAAGUCCUUGUGGUGGUAUUGAAGUUAGCAAAGGUACUACCACCAGCAUACCAGUACUUAAUUGCUGGUUGGUUCCUUUUAUGUAUUAUUGGCAUGUGUGCAUUUGCAAAUCACUGCAAACCAAAGCUUUUCUACCCCUGUACACAGCCCAAAGUGAUAUUUAUCUAGCUUAGAGACUGUUAAUUGUUGUCCAAUUUUUAAGCUUUGCUGGACAUAACAACUUCCAUGUGCAACCCAAGAGGCUUUGUGAGCAGAAAUAUUUUUAAGGGUGCCAAUGAAACUGUGUGAUGUAAGAGUUAUGCUUAGUAGCCUCUGUGGAAUUUCAAGGGCUCACUCCUGGGUUUGCAAGGUACAUCAGUCCUUGUGGUGGUGGGGGGGGGGAGCAAAAUGUGCAGGUCUGAUAACUAGCUGCAGGGGCUAGUGAGUGCUUUAUUGGGCAUUGCCUGACUCAUGUUCAGUGUUGAUGUAAAGACUUAGCCCUGCUGACAUAGCAAGGAGAUUCUAGUACAGCAGCAAAAUUUGAAAAGUGAUCCAUACCUCAGGGAAAAUCUUACAGGUUUUAAAUGAAAGGUGGAGAUGUAUAUAACAACUGAUCCAAAAUCCGACUUUAUGCAGGAGCUAGGAGAAAGAUCAUUUGGUAUGGAAAAUACUCUAUUACACACUUACAUAAAUUCAUCUGAAACUUUCAGAAAUGAAAGCCAUUGGAAGAAAUGUUGCUACUUAAAAAAGAAAUGUGUGUUUAUGCAUAAUGCGUUGGAAACUGGAAUUGGCUUUUACAUUGCAGUGCCACAUAUUUCAUUUCUUCUCAGCAUAUACUUAAUAAUGCUAAAUGUGUUAGAUUCUACUUUGUAGAUGGUGGAGGCACCCCAUCAACCCCUCCCUGGCUUAAUCUCUUAAUGGAAAAACAUUCUUAUGCUAUCCAUUGAACUGACCAGAAUUGGCCUUUAGGCAAAGUAUAGAGCAAAUACUCAUGAAAACUUGGAGGAAUCUGUCACAAGAAAAAGCUACGCCUGAAACGGUGCAGCAUUCACAAGGCAGUGACCACACUGACCUUCACACUGUGUCCUGCAGAUUGAUAUGGGAACUUCUAGGAAGAAGCUUGAUAAUGUGGACCUGCAUCAUCUGAUAGAAUGGUUUGACAAGCCUCAAGCCUAGUCUUUUGUGUGCUGUGCUUUGCAAUUGUACAGUUAAAUUGUACAAUUAAAGCAGAAGAAAUGGAAUCUAGAAUGCGUACAAAAGAUGGACAACAUUGGUGGGUAUGGUGCAUCAGUUAUGGUAGGCUGCUUCAGUGCGGAAGAAUAUCUGUCAGUCGUGAUUAUUCAUGUGGGCAUAACCACUCUAUUCUGGAGAUUACAAUUACAGAAAGAAACGGAAACAUUGCGACUACCUCAAAUACGAACUUUGAAUACAGCAGCGAGUUCAUAUGUAAAGACUGCCAUGCAAAAAACCCCUCUCUCCACGGAAGUUUGGUUGCUCACUACAAUGCUAGAAGAAUUGAUUGAACCUUAAGCAGUAAAAUUAGGACACAGUUUGGCUUUGAUGGAAUGAAUCUAGGAAUUGUUCUUAUGUCCUCAUUCCCAAGGAUAAAGAAGUUCUCUGCUUCACAAGAGGCCAGCUUGCUAAAGAAAAAUAAAAGUGAUUGUGAAAUCGCAGGCUGAAAUUGGAGCUGGACCCAGAUUCUUUGUCAAAUUGUGCUCUUGAAAUGUCAGCGAUUCUUUAACAUUGCUCUGCUUCGCAGAACAUGUGGAUGGCAGCUACGGAUGCAAAAACCUCCACAGGGAGCAGCACAUUUCCCAAGACACUACCUCCAGCCAUUUUCAUGUCAGAUUUGUGAGGUCUACACGCUAGAUCUGAAAGUAGGGCUUGGAAACUUGAAAAGUUCAUUCUUAUGAUAAGGCUUUUGAUGAUAUCCUUAAAUGUUGCUGGGUGUAAGUACAAGAUGGUAUCGAGGCUUCCAUGCAGUACAGCUUGCCUAUGCUAUAAAUGUGGCUUGGCACACAUAGCAUCAUGCAGUGAUUGCCAGGGCAACGGAUGUGGGAUCCAAAGGUGCCUUGCUUAAGCAAACAAAAAAACUUCAAUCUGCAUCAAGCAGGGGAAGAUCAUAUCCCGAACUAUUCCCAAUAACCCUGCCCCCCGAAACCAGAGUUGGUGGAGCAGAUAAUUCUUGCUCUGUGAUGGAAAACUGCUUGUAGUUCUCUGGAUCAAAGCCAUGGUUGGCUGAUCUGAUGAAACUUGACACCAGAUCGUGCAGCAUAAUAAAGUAUCACCAGUUUGUUAAUUUUGUAGAGUGAAUUUUAUGGAGAUUUCAUAAAUACUUCGAAUGAAAUAUGUAUUUCAUGUUAAAAUUUGCCCUUUGUUUAAACUAUGAUCACCACAUAUUAGCACUGGAGUUUUGGAUAGAUGAUAUAUAUAUACCUUCACCUUUCAUUUAAGUACUUCUGUACUCCCCCUCCACCACCCCUGGUCUAAACCACCAAAAGUUGUAUUUCUGUGGCUUCAAAGUUUGCAGCUGAAGGGAACGAGGUGAGUCUUUAGGUCAGUAUAUUAGGCCAAAGUAUUUCUUGUGCCAUAGCAAACCAGAACAUUGCAGAGUUUACGGGAGAAGUAGUCCAUUUUAUUCCAAAUAAUUCAGAACAAAACUUCUCCCUUGGCUAUCUUGGUUCGGUGUAAGUCAGACAUGCAUCCAAGUGAGCAGGACUUAAGAUUUCUAAACUGCUGGUUACUGAGAAACUUAGCAUCAAAAGCAUUUUAUUUAUCUUGCGUAUGCCAACUUUUUCUGCAUUUCUAAAAUAAGAGUACUUGACAAAACUAAUGCUAUUGGAAGUAGCUGGAGUCAGGUGAAAGGGGUCUUGUAUAGGAAGAAGGGUUAUUUUAAUAUACAUAUUUUUUAAUGGAUUUGACCUCCUCUCUCCUUAAUAAGAAAGGAAUAACUACAAAAGGUUACUGAAAUUCUCUCUGGCUAUUUGACUGUAAUGCAUUCAAACCCUGUUGGUAAAGGAUGUCUCCCUCCUGAGACCCCUCCUAGGCUGUCAGACACUGAACAAAUUCACAGACUAGUUUAAUAUCAGAGGUUGAACUACUCACAAACUCUGUUUUUAAAAGGAUUGUCCCAGUAUUGAAUACCACCACACACCCACACACACCAUGGGCACAUAAUCAUGACCUAAAAUAAAAGGUUUGUGCUUUCUUUUUGGAACAGGGUAUGUAAUCUGUCUAAAUUUCACAUGGCUUGCUGUUUGUUAGUAUCACAAUUUUAAAGCUUGAUAAUGUUUGUCCAAAAGUGGAAACUUGAUUAAUUGCAACCCAAACGUGCUCAGCCUGCCAUCUGUACCUUGCACCAUUUUCUUAAGAAAAUGUCACUGUAAGUUAUGGGGAAGAGAUGUUGGUUAAAGCAGGCUUUUGCUUUUAAAAAAGCUAAUAAUAAUGAUGAUAAUAAUGAUGAUGAUGUAUAUCUACCCUUUGGAUCUAAUGUACAUUUUUUUAUGCAGCUGUCAAAUUCUCUAUUUAAUCCCUUGGUUUCUCUGUAAAUGUUUUUACUCUCUGUUUGAAUGCUGGGCACAGUUUGUAACGUAUGUACACAACGGUGUUUUUUUCUAUCAAUGUUGACUCUUUUGCACAUUUUUUGAAAUUGUUUAAUUUGUACACUGUUUUAAUACUCUGACCAACUGUUAUGGAGUGUAUGUGGAUUAUGUAUGUGUGCAAUGUACUACUGUUUUGAAUGAGGAUUUUUAGAUUCCGUAUAAAUGCGUGUCCACUUCUGGCUUUACCUUGGUUGAGGAACUCAGGACAUUAGCUUUGCUUACUAGUUCCCCCACAAUAGUCCAAAUCCAGCAACUUGGUUGUACCUGCAGAGCUUUGACACAGAUACUGAACUCUGUGUGAAUAGGGACUUCCCAGUUCACUCCAUGCUAUUUGGGGCUCCUGCCAGUUGACCAGUCAAAUAUGGUCAAGUUGACCACCAUCUAACAUCAUGAAUUCAAUGUAACAGUUAACUUGGUUCUGUUUUGUAGCUAGUGCAUUUCUGAAUCCUUGCCCAUUAUUUGGCUGGAAUGCUAGCCAGAUUCCAAAUGCUUUUUCACUGAUGUGCAGAGUGCACACACCCAGCUUCUCAGAAGCAUAGCGUGAACAGGAACAGGGAAGCCACUGCUUAAUAGAGCUUCAAAUAUGUGUCAGAUCCUCUGCGGAGUUUGGAUUGUGGUAAAUGUGUCUAAGAACUUUCCAAAUAUAGGGUACAUAAAAAUGCCUUCUAUGUACUGUCUGUCCUGUUUCCCACAGACCUAUUCCAGUUUCAUUUCUACAUGUUUUUUUAAAAAUUGUUUUUUAAAGGUACUGCAUUUAGUUAGAUGAAUAUAUAAAAGCUUUGAGAGAUAAUUUACUAGAUAAAUAUAUUUUCAGCUGGCUGAUGUUCAGAAAAUAUUUUAUUUUUUGUUUUUAACCAUUCAAAAUGUAUUUGUAUUUCCAAAAUUAGACAUGAAUUGUAUAUUAAAACACUCUGGCUGGAUAAUGGUAUGGUUUGUCUUGUAAGGUUUCUCUCUCUCUCUCUCUCUCUUUUUUAAGAGCUAAAAAUGUUUCUGUGAUACAGAGAAUAAUAAUACUGUUCUGAAAAGCUGAAGGCAAUCUUUCAAUUUAGAGCUGCUUGAGAAAAUUGAGACACAAAACCAAUCUUAGAAAAGUCAGAUGUUUUUAUUGCCUGUUCUUUUUUGUUACAUUGAAUGUAAUGUUUCCCUCUUGAUCUUAAAGCUUUCCUUAUUUUCUGGUACUGGGAAAAAAUAAAGCAUGUUGAAGGUACUAGCAGAAUACCAAUUUGCCAGCCUAGUUCAUGGCUUGAAGGAUUAUUUGUAUGAUUCUUAAGACUUGCCAACAAAAAAUUCUCAUGUUGGGUAAAUAGCACACUGGUGGAUAUCAAAAACCAACAGUUAGGAAAAGCGGUAUUCUCUCUUUCUUUCUCUCUUUCUUUUUUUAAAGAGCCUACUAAUAGCCUGGUAUGGUGUGGUAUGUUCCAUUGUUCAUGCACAUUUUGACCUUGUCAUAGUCUCAAAAGUGUGCUUGUACAAAAUGUAUAAAAGCAUUUUGAUUUUUUAAAAACAACAACAACAACUAUGUAUUUACCUGUCAUUUUUUUGCUGGUAAAUGGCUUUUAUUUUAUUUGGGUUUUUUUAUCGAUUAUAAAAAGAAGCCAUGUUUAUAUUCUGUGUUUGACCAAAUUACUUCUGUUUUAUGAAAUUUGUAUAUUGGUGGUACACAUCUUUGUGUAGGAUGAUUGUGCAUGAGGACCUGCAAGAAUUAAUACAAUGAAAGAUUGGAGGUUGUUUUUUUUUUCUUCCAAGUUAAUUCUGGAAAGGUUAUGGUGCAAAGGUUUACUGGAUGUAACCUUAUGAGCUUAUGGAAUGACUAUAGAGAAUGGCACUUCUAAGUGUUAAUAAAACAAAUAUUUAUUUCCA
Podarcis raffonei (Aeolian wall lizard) is the source of this 6093-nucleotide long non-coding RNA. RefSeq lists it as uncharacterized. The record is from RefSeq and is a predicted model, not a curated record. The transcript has 2 exons. Lineage: Eukaryota; Metazoa; Chordata; Lepidosauria; Squamata; Lacertidae.